Molecule: ribosomal RNA, 63 nt
Filed under: Aeromonas caviae
Lineage: Bacteria; Pseudomonadati; Pseudomonadota; Gammaproteobacteria; Aeromonadales; Aeromonadaceae
Also listed under: 1 other name
Source: RNAcentral
CCUGGCGGCAAUAGCGCAGUGGAACCACCUGACCCCAUGCCGAACUCAGAAGUGAAACGCUGU